Drosophila serrata is the source of this 371-nucleotide long non-coding RNA. RefSeq lists it as uncharacterized. The record is from RefSeq and is a predicted model, not a curated record. NCBI's taxonomy places the organism in Eukaryota, Metazoa, Arthropoda, Insecta, Diptera, Drosophilidae.
UGGAAUGUCUGCUGUCUUAUAGGUCAGAUAAGAGCUCUGUUUUAAAACGAGAUGAUAAUGGGAAGAUCCCUCGGAAUAUGUUUCUACUGAUAAGAAUACUCUACUUGUUGCUCGAUUCCCCUCUAUAGAAUGUUGUAAAAUCAUUUCCAAAGGGUUUGUUGAGGCGUUCACAUCAUCAUGCAAAUCUUUCUCCUGCUCCUGGUAUUAAUCCUAACACUCUGGAACUCUGUUGUCACAGGAGAUUGCCUGACAGAUCCUGUGACAAUGCUCUGCAUUCUGGACCCAAAUCAGGGCAAAUAGCCGUGUGUAUGUAUAUAUCCUUUUGUCCCAAUAAAGUACGAAAGUGGAGCACGAUGUGGGCUUCUAAGUAA